Molecule: non-coding RNA, 349 nt
Organism: Tursiops truncatus (common bottlenose dolphin)
Lineage: Eukaryota; Metazoa; Chordata; Mammalia; Artiodactyla; Delphinidae
Source: Rfam
UUUUGGGGCGGUGUUUACAGACUCUUCUUCUCUGCCUCCGCCCUGCUCUUGGCCCAGGCUUCGUUCCUCUUCUGUUUUCCAGCCAGACCCGGAAAAACGAAAACACAGCUCGGGGAGCCCCCACCAGCCAGCGCCUGUGCCAGCUCACCUCUGGCCAUGGUGCAGCUGCCUCCCGGUGCACACCGCGGCCAAGGCCAGCUCCACAUUCCUCCCUCACUCUCCCCACUUCACCGGAGACCGAGCCCUGCAUGCAGAGGAAGGGCCCCAGCUCCACAGACUGCCAGAGCCAGCUAGGUCCCUCCUCACCAAAAAUGGUGAGACAAGAUUUCUGCUGAGGAGCCCCAAGAAG